This 420-nucleotide ribosomal RNA is filed under the name uncultured archaeon. RNAcentral's name for it is "partial 16S ribosomal RNA". It matches the Rfam family "Archaeal small subunit ribosomal RNA", at positions 323 to 746 of the family's 1478-position model. The record is from RNAcentral.
CUACGGGCCGCUGCAGUCGAGGAAAUUUUACAAUGCUCGAAAGAGUGAUAAAAUAAGCCAGAGUGUUUCUCCUAGAGAAGCUUUUGUCUACUGUAAAAAGGUAGACGAAUAAGGACUGGGCAAGACCGGUGCCAGCCGCCGCGGUAAUACCGGCGGUCCGAGUUGCAUCCACAUUUAUUGGGUCUAAAACAUUCGUAGCUUGUUUUACAAGUCUCUUGUGAAAUCUCAUAUCUCAAGUAUGAGGCGUGCAAGAGAUACUGUAUGACUAGAGACCGGGAGACGCAAAGAGUACGAUUAAGGUAACGGUAAAAUGUGUUAAUCUUAAUUGGACUAACAAUGGCGAAGGCACUUUGCGAGUACGGAUCUGACAGUAAGGGAUGAAGGCUAGGGGCGCAAAAGGGAUUAGAUACCCGCGUAGUC